AACGGUCUAUACCUGCGGUACCUGCGGAAGGAUCAUUACUGAGUUUCACAACUCUCUAACCCUGUGUGAACUGAAGUCUGGUUGCUCAGGCAGGCGGCCCCCGGGGGGAGCCGCAGCUUCUCUGAAGCGCCUGCCGGAGGAUACCUAAACUCGUUUUAACAUAUAAUCUUCUGAGUAAUAAAAAAAAUGAAUCAAAACUUUCAACAACGGAUCUCU
This 216-nucleotide unclassified non-coding RNA is filed under the name soil metagenome. Its description in RNAcentral is "partial contains 5.8S ribosomal RNA, internal transcribed spacer 2, and large subunit ribosomal RNA". The record is from RNAcentral.